GCUUCGGGCGUGUUCUGUGCUUGUCCGGCUGCGGUGCCUCCCGCGGCCGCCUGGCCCCGCCCCCACCACGUCCACCUCCAGAGACAGCGAGAGCAGGAGCACAAGCAGCGGGAGUGGGAGAGGGAGAAGCAGACUCCCCACCGAGCAGGGAGCCCGAUGCGGGGCUCGAUCCCAGGACCCUGGGAUCAUGACCCUAGCCGAAGGCAGACGCUCAACGACUGAGCCACCCAGGCGCCCCUCUUUGCUGGACUAUUAGGAAAUGGCUUAAAAUGUCUCUUAUUCUUCGGAGUAGGCGAGCCUGCAGGGGGAUGGAAGGCACGCGGUGGAACGGGACUCCCCGCCCUGCACCCCUCCGGCCGCCCCGACCCCGCCACAGGCUGCCGCCCGUCCCCGUUGCGGGCACAGCCUCCAAGCACACGGGCGAACAGCCGUCCUCGUGCCUGCCUUUUUUCACCCGACACACCGCCACCUUCCUCUUUCGACACGUCUGUGCCUCUGGUGGCUCCAUGGUCGUCGGUUCUGGUCCUCUGGUUAGGACUCCGAUGAUUUCUUUGUCCUGUCGUCAGGUGCCGGGCAGAGUUACCCUGUGUGGUGCCGGCCAACUGGGGGUAACCAUUUGCUUUUGCCUACCCGCCAGCACCGCUGUGGGACAGACACCUAGGAUGGGAGCUUCUGGGUCAAAAGACCUGCUGAUGCUCACAGCUGCCGCAGACCCUAACGUCGUAGCAGCUUCUCUCGCGCUUCGGUCGCCCUUGCGUCCUUGCCACACCGUGGUAACCAAGCACUUGAUGGGAGGUGUUUGCUAAGCUCUUCAGGGCACUGGGUUGUCCAAGAUCCCGGCCCCAGGUCUGGGCGGGCGCUGGUGUGCCCUGACCUCUCGCUUGCAUUGGGCCCAAGGAGAAGUUCUGCUGAGGGGUCUGCUCAUGGUGCUUAAUCGACUGAAAAUAAAAGUGGCAACAAUUAA
Mirounga angustirostris (Northern elephant seal) is the source of this 964-nucleotide long non-coding RNA. RefSeq lists it as uncharacterized. The record is from RefSeq and is a predicted model, not a curated record. The transcript has 2 exons. Lineage: Eukaryota; Metazoa; Chordata; Mammalia; Carnivora; Phocidae.